ACGGGUGAGUAACGCGUGGGAAUCUACCCUGAACUGCGGAAUAGCUCCGGGAAACUGGAAUUAAUACCGCAUGUGCCCUGAGGGGCAAAGAUUUAUCGGUUCAGGAUGAGCCCGCGUCCGACUAGCUAGUUGGUGGGGUAAAGGCCUACCAAGGCGACGAUCGGUAGCUGGUCUAAGAGGAUGAUCAGCCACAUUGGGACUGAGACACGGCCCAAACUCCUACGGGAGGCAGCAGUGGGGAAUAUUGGACAAUGGGCGCAAGCCUGAUCCAGCCAUGCCGCGUGAGUGAUGAAGGCCCUAGGGUUGCAAAGCUCUUUCAGUGGGGACGAUAAUGACGGUACCCACAGAAGAAGCCCCGGCUAACUUCGUGCCAGCGGCCGCGGUAAUACGAAGGGGGCUAGCGUUGUUCGGAAUUACUGGGCGUAAAGCGCACGUAGGCGGACAUUUAAGUCAGGGGUGAAAUCCCGGGGCUCAACCCCGGAACUGCCUUUGAUACUGGGUGUCUUGAGUCCGGAAGAGGUGAGUGGAAUUGCGAGUGUAGAGGUGAAAUUCGUAGA
This 557-nucleotide ribosomal RNA is filed under the name uncultured Aurantimonas sp. Its description in RNAcentral is "bacterial SSU rRNA". It matches the Rfam family "Bacterial small subunit ribosomal RNA", at positions 102 to 694 of the family's 1533-position model. The record is from RNAcentral. Lineage: Bacteria; Pseudomonadati; Pseudomonadota; Alphaproteobacteria; Hyphomicrobiales; Aurantimonadaceae.